AAAUGCGAUAAGUAAUGUGAAUUGCAGAAUUCAAUGAAUCAUCGAAUCUUUGAACGCACAUUGCGCCCGCCAGUAUUCUGGCGGGCAUGCCUGUCCGAGCGUCAUUUCAACCAUCAAGCCCCCGGGCUUGUGUUGGGGACCUGCGGCUGCCCGCAGGCCCUGAAAACCAGUGGCGGGCUCGCUGUCACACCGAGCGUAGUAGCAAUCACCUCGCUCAGGGCGUGCUGCGGGUUCCGGCCGUUAAACAGCCUUACAAAACCCAAGGUUGACCUCGGAUCAGGUAGGAAGACCCGCUGAACUUAAGC
This 305-nucleotide unclassified non-coding RNA is filed under the name plant metagenome. RNAcentral describes it as "partial contains 5.8S ribosomal RNA, internal transcribed spacer 2, and large subunit ribosomal RNA". The stretch from base 1 to 104 matches the Rfam family "5.8S ribosomal RNA", at positions 51 to 154 of the family's 154-position model. The record is from RNAcentral.